Lonchura striata (white-rumped munia) is the source of this 4873-nucleotide non-coding RNA. NCBI's taxonomy places the organism in Eukaryota, Metazoa, Chordata, Aves, Passeriformes, Estrildidae. The record is from RefSeq and is a predicted model, not a curated record.
CCGGCCCGCAGUGGGGUCAGACCCCUCUGAGGACGAGCUCCUCUCCCGUUUUCCUUCCUCCACCCCGUGCCGGGAGCCUGCACGGGGCUUUGCUCGCCUCGGGGCGGAGGAAAAUCCGUCUGACUCGUCAGUCAGAACGGAGAAUCGAGAAGUUCAAUCCCGGCGCGCCCAGAGGAGCCGGCGAGUUCCUGCCCGCUGUCACCGCUGGCGUUCCGGAGCGCGGACGGACUGACAGACUGACGGUAGGCAGCGAGCCAUGAAGUUCUGGCUCCGGAGUUAUCUUGCAUCCCGUGGCGUUGCGGUGCGGGGGCGAGCAUGAAGCAGCAGUACAGUGUAUGUGCAGGCAAAGUUGGGGAAGACGUCUGGUGUGCUCCUCUGGGGGUGCCUGGGUUUUCGGGUGCGUUCUGAUGCUCAGCUCUCCCCUGUAUCAGGAUGUGCAGCACUGGAAACCAACAUCAACUUCAGUAAACCAUGUAAUGGAGGCAGUUCUGGAUUUCUGAAAGGGCUCAGAGUGUCUGCAGUAGUGAAUGUUAUCUGAUUCUUGUAUUGUCAUGCACCAGGGUCCUUAACCUGCUGCUGCUCUUUGGGCUUCUGCAAAUGCCACGGACCUAGCAGAAGGUGGUGGAUGUGGACUUUUAAACUGUGUCUCAACAUCUCAUCCUCAACUAUUUUUAGUCUGAUUGCACUACGAAAGAAAAGCUGCUAAUGGGAUAAAUGUUGAGACUUUACAAGAACUGACUUGAAGUACCGAAAGCCAUUAUUAUUAUUAUUUUAUUAUUACUAUUAUUAAUCAAGAAGAGCUUGAAGCUAAGUCUAUAUCUGAUCAGUUGUUAUCAUUUCACAGUAACAGUCAUGGCAAGUAAACGAAAAUCAACAACACCCUGCAUGGUCUUAGCCAAUGAGCAGGAUCCAGAUCUAGAAAUGGUGUCAGACUUGGAGGAAGGACCACCUGUGCUCACACCAGCAGAUAACCCUACAGCAGAGGGUGUAACAAGUGAUGAAGAUGUUCAUGAGUGUGUGGAUUCAGACAAUAAGAAAAGCACAAAUAAAGUAGAAGGUGGUUAUGAGUGUAAAUACUGCACUUUUCAGACUCCAGAUCUCAAUAUGUUUACUUUUCAUGUGGAUUCAGAACACCCCAAUGUAGUAUUAAAUUCAUCCUACGUUUGUUUAGAAUGUAAUUUCCUUACCAAAAGAUAUGAUGCCCUCUCAGAACAUAAUUUGAAGCACCAUCCUGGAGAGGAGAAUUUUAAAUUGACUAUGGUGAAACGUAAUAACCAGACAAUCUUUGAACAGACAGUAAAUGAUCUCACUUUUGAUGGGAGUUUUGUUAGAGAAGAAAAUGCUGGACAGGCUGACUCUUCUGAGGUCCCCUCAUCAGGGAUCUCUAUUAGCAAAACUCCUAUCAUGAAAAUGAUGAAAAGCAAACCCGAGGCUAAACGUAUUGCUGUUUUCCACAAUACAGUUGAUGACAUUCCUGGUGAAGAAAAGGGAACUGAAAAUGAGCCAGACCCUGAAGUAGUAGAAAACCCCCCACCGGCAGUUUCUGAAUCAAAACCAAGCCAUUCAGUUGUGUGCAGUGCAGCAGAUGUGGCCGGGGCAGUAGUGACCCCGGCACCAGUGCUUCAGCCUGGGGUGGCACAGGUUAUAACAGCUGUUACAGCUCCCCAGAACUCAAACCUGAUUCCAAAAGUACUAAUACCUGUAAAUAGCAUUCCAGCCUAUAACACUGCUUUGGAUAACAAUCCUCUUUUGCUUAACACCUACAACAAAUUCCCAUACCCAACCAUGUCGGAAAUCACUGUUCUCUCCUCUCAAGCUAAGUACACAGAAGAACAGAUUAAAAUAUGGUUUUCUGCCCAGCGUCUGAAACACGGAGUGAGCUGGACGCCAGAGGAGGUGGAGGAAGCAAGGAGGAAACAAUUUAAUGGCACAGUGCAUACUGUGCCACAGACAAUUACCGUUAUUCCGGCACACAUUUCGGCCUCUAGCAAUGGUUUACCUUCAAUUUUACAGACAUGCCAAAUAGUUGGUCAGCCAGGACUUGUUCUCACUCAAGUUGCAGGUACAAAUACAUUACCAGUAACAGCCCCAAUAGCUUUGACUGUAGCAGGAGUCCCAAACCAAACACAGUUACAGAAGAGUCAGAUUCACAGUGCUCAGCCUACUGCAGAAACCAAACAAGUAGCUGCCAUUCCAGCCCCUCAGCCUAUCAAAAAUGAAUCCACACUGAUGAAUCCUGACUCCUUUGGCAUCCGAGCAAAAAAAACUAAGGAACAACUGGCAGAAUUGAAAGUCAGCUACCUUAAAAACCAGUUUCCUCAAGACUCAGAAAUUGUUAGACUUAUGAAAAUAACAGGCCUCACUAAAGGAGAGAUCAAAAAGUGGUUCAGUGAUACACGCUACAAUCAGAGAAACUCAAAGAAUAAUCAUGGGAUUCAUCUCAACAGUGAUUCAUGUGCCACCAUUGUUAUUGAUUCAAGUGAUGAAAUGAAUGAAUCUCCAACAGGAGUCACUCCACAGAGCAAGCCAUCUUGGGGUACUUUUCCCGAUUUCACCCCACAGAAAUUCAAAGAGAAGACUUCUGAACAGCUGCAAGUCCUCCAAGCAAGUUUUCUUAAUAACCCUGUCCUUACUGAGGAAGAGAUGAAUAGAUUAAGAGCCCAAACAAAACUGACCAGGAGAGAGAUUGAUGCCUGGUUUAUAGAAAAAAGGAAAUCAAAUGUCUUGAAGGAAGAGGGAGCUGACAUGAAUGAAAGCAAUGCUGGCAGCUCCAAAGAGGAGUCUGGAGAAACAUCUGUGGGAGAUGGAGCAGCAGGAACAAAAUCAGGGUGUUCUACUUCAAGCAAAAUAGGCAAAAAAUCACCAGAGCAGUUGCACAUGCUCAAAAGUUCCUUUGUCCGUACUCAGUGGCCAUCUCCACAAGAAUACAACAAGCUGGCAGAAGAAACUGGGCUUCCAAGAUCAGAAAUUGUGAGCUGGUUUGGAGAUACUCGCUAUGCCUGGAAAAAUGGUGGAUUGAAAUGGUAUUACUAUUACCAGAGUGCCAGUGCAAACAGUCUGAACGGCCAAGGAUUUUCAAGGAAGAGAGGGAGAGGAAGACCAAAAGGGAGGGGGAGAGGGAGACCUCGGGGGAGGCCUCGGGGAAGCAAGAGGUUAAAUUGCUGGGACAGAGGUGUAUCUGUCAUAAAAUUUAAAACUGGAACAGCAAUCCUGAAGGACUAUUAUAUGAAGCACAAAUUCCUUAAUGAGCAAGACCUUGAUGAACUGGUAGCCAAAUCUCACAUGGGAUAUGAGCAGGUCAGAGAAUGGUUUGCAGAAAGGCAAAGAAGAUUAGAACUUGGAAUAGAGCUGUUUGAUGAGAAUGAGGAGGAAGAUGAAAUGCUGGAUGAUCAGGAGGAUGAGGAAGAAACAGAUGAUAGUGAUACUUGGGAACCCCCUAGGCAUGUUAAACGUAAACUUUCAAAAACAGACUGAUGUACAAUUUGGAAUUUGGGGGCCAAAAACCUAUGAAUUAGGUUUGAUGUUAUUAUGAAGAGCCAAAUGAUUUUUCAUGGCCUUCAGUUUAGCAAGCAGCUGCUUAGCAUCUUCCUUCCACCUAAGAGUACCUGGGCAAGAUGCUACCUGUGCAGGCAAGAACUGUUUGCUUUGUUACUACAAGAGAUGAACAUCCUCAGGCCUGGCCUGGGACAGGGGGUUACAAAUCAGAUCAAGUUCAGCUCUUCCACACUACCAAUGGGAAGGUUCAUGUUCAUCAUACACGUGACUGCUUCUCAGUAUUUAAUUGCCUUAUGUUGUUUAAUUCCAAAAAAACACAGACACUUUUUUGUUGUUGUUGUUGCUGUAAGAGAACAUUGCCUGCUUGCGAAGGAGGAAAACACAAAAACAUUAGAUGUCUUUUUGUAAACAUCACUUCAUCUGAAAGGUUUCAAGGCCUGGCUCUCUUUCUUAAGGAAAGUGUUGAAAACAAAAGAGAAGGGGAAAAGUGUGGCAAAAGGAACCAAUGAACCUAGGGCUGCCCAGCGUGGUGAAGGGGAAGCAAUUCUUGAAAAAUUUCAAGAUAACUGGUUAACUGUGAAUGGGCCUAAUCUUUCGUGAAACCAAGAAAAUUUUUGGACACACACAGGACUUGAAUACUGAAAAGGAUUGGAACUUAGUGUUGUGCCAAAGCUAAACGACUGCAGUUGGCAGUUCUGCACUGUAAAUAGAAGACUGAUUAGAAGACAGCUUGUAAAAAAAAAAAAUCAAAUUUUAAUACAGUACGUUUUUAUUCUGAUACAUGAUGGAAACAUUCAGUUUUAAACCUUUUUUGAAGAGGCUUCAGUGACCACUAGAUUUUGUCCUCUUAUAUUUUGUUUGGCCUAAUACUAUAUGUUUUAGUAAGAUGGGCUGUAUUGCCUGUGUUCUUUGAUAUGUGAUUAAGCUUAUAGCUUUGAGUGACCAAACAUUUUACAGAGUAAAAGUUCUUAGAAACAGUAUAAUGUAACUGAUAUAUCUGUGUCUUAUUUAUCAGGCUCUGCACAAACUUGGAAAGUUGUGCUGGACUUGUACAACUCAUGUAUGGGAACGCAGCAUACUUCUGGAUAUUACAAACCUAAGCCUUUGUGGCUGUAUGGAUCUUGUCUUUGGAUUUAUUUUUGUUAUUUUUUUGAGGCAAAGAAACGAAUGGAUGCUGCUGUAAAAUAUUUGUAAUAUUGCCAUUAUUUCUUUCUGUAGCAAUUAUUGCUUCUGCUUCAACAGAUAAAGAAAAUAAAUCAGAGAUAGAAAAAUCCUAAAGACGCUGGUAGAAGAAAGGAUCAUGUGAGAACUUCUGAAAAUAAACUUUGUACCAAAAAUUUGAAAACAGAAAUAAUGGAAUAAAUGUCUCCUUACUGAG